GCGGGCGUGGCGGAAUUGGCAGACGCACUGGAUUUAGGUUCCAGCGAUGCAAAUCGUGGGGGUUCAAAUCCCCCCGCCCGCACCA
RNAcentral lists this transfer RNA (85 nucleotides) under Alphaproteobacteria bacterium. Its description in RNAcentral is "tRNA-Leu". It matches the Rfam family "tRNA". From Rfam's summary of the family: Transfer RNA (tRNA) molecules are approximately 80 nucleotides in length. Their secondary structure includes four short double-helical elements and three loops (D, anti-codon, and T loops). Further hydrogen bonds mediate the characteristic L-shaped molecular structure. tRNAs have two regions of fundamental functional importance: the anti-codon, which is responsible for specific mRNA codon recognition, and the 3' end, to which the tRNAs corresponding amino acid is attached (by aminoacyl-tRNA synthetases). tRNAs cope with the degeneracy of the genetic code in two manners: having more than one tRNA (with a specific anti-codon) for a particular amino acid; and 'wobble' base-pairing, i.e. permitting non-standard base-pairing at the 3rd anti-codon position. The record is from RNAcentral. Lineage: Bacteria; Pseudomonadati; Pseudomonadota; Alphaproteobacteria. RNAcentral also lists the same sequence under 2 other names.